GGAGUAAUGGACCUACCAGCAUCAUGGGCACAGCCACUCCUCUGUUUCUGUGACUUUAGGGCAAAGAGCAACCAGCUAUUUCUAUGCUCAGUGUUUGGGGACCAGUGAGCACUGAGAAUGGAUUAUAGCCUGACAUUC
Cavia porcellus (domestic guinea pig) is the source of this 138-nucleotide small nucleolar RNA. Ensembl annotates it as small nucleolar RNA SNORA43. The record is from Ensembl. NCBI's taxonomy places the organism in Eukaryota, Metazoa, Chordata, Mammalia, Rodentia, Caviidae.